UGCAGUCGACGCGUUGGCCCAAUUGAUUGAUGGUGCUUGCACCUGAUUGAUUUUGGUCGCCAACGAGUGGCGGACGGGUGAGUAACACGUAGGUAACCUGCCCAGAAGCGGGGGACAACAUUUGGAAACAGAUGCUAAUACCGCAUAACAACGUUGUUCGCAUGAACAACGCUUAAAAGAUGGCUUCUCGCUAUCACUUCUGGAUGGACCUGCGGUGCAUUAGCUUGUUGGUGGGGUAACGGCCUACCAAGGCGAUGAUGCAUAGCCGAGUUGAGAGACUGAUCGGCCACAAUGGGACUGAGACACGGCCCAUACUCCUACGGGAGGCAGCAGUAGGGAAUCUUCCACAAUGGGCGCAAGCCUGAUGGAGCAACACCGCGUGAGUGAAGAAGGGUUUCGGCUCGUAAAGCUCUGUUGUUAAAGAAGAACACGUAUGAGAGUAACUGUUCAUACGUUGACGGUAUUUAACCAGAAAGUCACGGCUAACUACGUGCCAGCAGNCGGCGGU
This 508-nucleotide ribosomal RNA is filed under the name Limosilactobacillus fermentum. Its description in RNAcentral is "bacterial SSU rRNA". It matches the Rfam family "Bacterial small subunit ribosomal RNA", at positions 45 to 521 of the family's 1533-position model. The record is from RNAcentral. Lineage: Bacteria; Bacillati; Bacillota; Bacilli; Lactobacillales; Lactobacillaceae.